RNAcentral lists this ribosomal RNA (229 nucleotides) under uncultured bacterium. RNAcentral describes it as "partial 16S ribosomal RNA". It matches the Rfam family "Bacterial small subunit ribosomal RNA", at positions 107 to 334 of the family's 1533-position model. The record is from RNAcentral.
UGAGUAACACGUAUCCAACCUGCCGUCUACUCUUGGACAGCCUUCUGAAAGGAAGAUUAAUACAAGAUGGCAUCAUGAGUCCACAUGUCCGCAUGAUUAAAGGUAUUUUCCGGUAGACGAUGGGGAUGCGUUCCAUUAGAUAGUAGGCGGGGUAACGGCCCACCUAGUCAACGAUGGAUAGGGGUUCUGAGAGGAAGGUCCCCCACAUUGGAACUGAGACACGGUCCAA